UGGGGAAUAUUGCACAAUGGGGGAAACCCUGAUGCAGCAACGCCGCGUGCGGGAUGACGGCCUUCGGGUUGUAAACCGCUUUCAGCCAUGACGAAGCUUUUGUGACGGUAGUGGCAGAAGAAGCACCGGCUAACUACGUGCCAGCAGCCGCGGUGAUACGUAGGGUGCGAGCGUUGUCCGGAAUUAUUGGGCGUAAAGAGCUUGUAGGCGGUUUGUCGCGUCGAAAGUGUAAACUCAGUGCUUAACGCUGAGCCUGCUUUCGAUACGGGCUGACUAGAGGAAGGUAGGGGAGAAUGGAAUUCCCGGUGGAGCGGUGGAAUGCGCAGAUAUCGGGAGGAACACAAGUGGCGAAGGCGGUUCUCUGGACCUUUCCUGACGCUGAGAAGCGAAAGCGUGGGUAGCAAACAGG
RNAcentral lists this ribosomal RNA (409 nucleotides) under bacterium. RNAcentral describes it as "partial 16S ribosomal RNA". It matches the Rfam family "Bacterial small subunit ribosomal RNA", at positions 355 to 776 of the family's 1533-position model. The record is from RNAcentral.